AGGUCAGGGAGCAGAGAUCACGUGGUGCGCGGCAGUUGGACGGGAGAGAAGGGGGCGUUUGGAGCGUUGGUCCCUCUCGGCUUUGACGUUUACUCUGCAGUUCCUGGAAAAGGGAAUGGACUUCAAAUAUUCUUUUACCAGAAAAUUUCUACUUCCAAAGUGAUGAAGGGACAGCCUCUUCCCCAAGAUCCUGCAUCUGGAGAUGGUAGUACGUUGCCACUGGUCUCCAUCAGAAGAGCUCAGUUACUAAAGAACCUGAGAAGUCUUAAUUGAGAAUGCAGGCAAGAAUGAGAGGAAAAAGAAAUAUAACAGGAAAUGCUGUUAAGUCUGUCAAUGAGGUAUAAUGGCCUUUACAGAUCUGAAGAAGGGUUCUGCGUAUGCCAGAAAGCUUGCCUGUCUCACCAACAGAAGUUGUUCCAAUAAAAGAUGAUGUCUCUCAGAACAAUACCUGCUAUGCAAACUGAAAACACCCAAGAAAAGAACGUCUUCCUGGCAAGGCAUGGAAAUUUCCGACGGCAAAAG
Chelonoidis abingdonii (Abingdon island giant tortoise) is the source of this 522-nucleotide non-coding RNA. NCBI's taxonomy places the organism in Eukaryota, Metazoa, Chordata, Testudines, Testudinidae. The record is from RefSeq and is a predicted model, not a curated record.